CGUGCAGGCGGGUUGGCAAGUCAGAUGUGAAAGCCCAGGGCUCAACCCUGGAAGUGCAUUUGAAACUGCCAUCCUUGAGUAUGGGAGAGGAGAGUGGAAUUCCCAGUGUAGAGGUGAAAUUCGUAGAUAUUGGGAGGAACACCCGUGGCGAAGGCGACUCUCUGGACCAAUACUGACGCUGAUACGCGAAAGCGUGGGGAGCAAACA
Molecule: ribosomal RNA, 207 nt
Filed under: uncultured bacterium
Lineage: Bacteria
Description: partial 16S ribosomal RNA
Rfam family: Bacterial small subunit ribosomal RNA
Source: RNAcentral